Long non-coding RNA from Hypanus sabinus (Atlantic stingray), 2936 nucleotides. RefSeq lists it as uncharacterized. The record is from RefSeq and is a predicted model, not a curated record. The transcript is spliced from 3 exons. NCBI's taxonomy places the organism in Eukaryota, Metazoa, Chordata, Chondrichthyes, Myliobatiformes, Dasyatidae.
UGUGACAUAUGGCAUGAUGACAUUUGCCAUUUAUUUACUUUUACAUAUAACCUGCACUGCCUUAUGUAAACAACAAAGAAGGCCAAAUCAAACAAUAUAAUUAUAAUAUAAUGUAAAUAUUACUGAAAUAUUAAAUACACAACAGGACUCAUGGGAUUUGACUUCCCCAGUGGGUUCACACAGAUUUGCAGACUCGUCUCUGGCCAGCAGGCUUCAACUCCCAGACCUCUGAUUUAACCAUCAGGCCUUGAUCCUCGGUAUCAAUUGCAGGACACAUGCCGAUCACCAAACAUUACGACUUAAGCUCUGAUCUCACCGAUUCGCGAGCCCAGGACGUAUUCUCCUUCAUGCUUCAGUGUUGCGAUGAGAUUUACUGGUUUCCAGGGCAUAUUGAAUAUUAACAGACAUUUUCCACCACUAUAGCAUCAAUUAUAAGAAACAUCAAAUUCAAGGGAGGAAUCGAUGAGCAUCUUUACCAGACCCCCAAUUCAUCAGCUUACCUCACAACCCACCUUGUCAAUAAAUGAUGAAAGGGAGAUUCGCUGACCUGAAUACAAACUCCAGGGAACCAAAAGGUUUAAUAAAUCUCACAAUGACUUCUAAAAGACAAACUGAGGAUUAAUUACCUGGCUUGUUUCAUUGGGAGAAGAAGAGGAGAUGUUCCUUCAGAGCCACCCCUCUGUCAUCAAGAUGCACCACCAAUUAAUUGAAUGUGGCAACACACAAAACAAAGAGCAAGUCUGUGGAUUUCCAACAUCUGCAGAAUUCCUUGUGUUAAUGAAUUAUAUGUGACCAUCACCAGUACUGUACCUCUCCAGGUAUUGCAAAAGUCACUCUUCCUGGGACGUAGAAAAGAAUUUCUGAACUGAAGAUGAAAUUGGUCUGGGUGCUGCUAUCUGCAGGAUAGACACUGUCUCAGGCUUACCAGGAUAUUUUUGUUUUUGUUUGCUUUCGGGUUGUAACUUCAAACAGAGGCAAAGAAAGAAAGCGAGAGCAUGACGGGAAGUAAGGAAAUAGUCUUCCCCUGCCCCAACAGCUCCACGACAGAAUUGGAUAGAGUUGGUGAUUAGAGGGUCUGAGUAAAAUCCACAGUCAAUUUGGAUUGGCAACAACAUCUCCCCCAUGAUCUCCAUCAGCACAGGUGUACCACAAGGCAGUGUGUUUAGCCCCAUGUUUUACUUGCAUUAUGCUUAUGACUGUAAGGCUAAGCUCAGCUCCAAUGCCCUAUUCAAGUUUGCUGACAAACCACUGCUGUAGGCCAAAUCAAAGGUGGUGAUGAAUCAGCAUGUAAGAGGGAGGUUGAAAAUCUGGCUGAGUGGUGCCAUAACAACAAUCUCUUACUCAAUGUCAGCAAGACCAAUGAGCUGAUCAUUGACAUCAGGAUAAGGACACCAGAGGUCCAAGAGUCAUUCCUCGUUGAAGGAUCAAAGAUGGAGAGUGUCAACAACUUUAAAUUCCUUGGUGUUAUUAUUUUGGAGGACCUGUCCUGGGCCCAGUAAGUGCAAUUACAAAGAAAGCACAGCAAUGCCUCUACUUCCUUAAGAAUUUGCAGAGAUUCGGCAUGACCUCUUAAACUUUAAUAAAUUCUAUUGACAUGUGGUAGAGAGUAUAUUGACUGGCUGCAUCACAGUCUGGUAUGGAAACACUAAUGCCUUUGAAUGAAAAAUGCUACAAAAAGUAGAGGAUACAGCCCAGUCAGUCACGGGUAAAGCCCUCCCAACCACUGAGCACAGCUACAUAAAAUGCUGUUGCAGGAAAGCAGUGUACCCCCUUUUUACUGGGCAUCUCUGGAAAUGCAGCUCGUCAGCCUCCAUCUAACAGCCACUGGACUCUGAGGCGAGAAGCCCACCUUUCUCAGGUUCCAUACAUCUACGGUUUAUACGACUUUGAUCCCACCAAACCCGUAAGGGUGGGAUGUCUUGCCCGCCCAAACCCCAGAAUGCUGCCCCCCUGUAGUCGCCCGUCAGCAAGAAAUAACAGGUCAUAUGAUUAUAAAGAAAAUAUAUUUAUGAAAGUUAGCUUAACCAAAGAGUUAUUAAAGAAAGAAAGAAGAAAGCAAAAAGAGCCCAUUAUAAUUAAACAGUCAAAUAUGCUCAUUAAUUGGAGCUCAUCUUGAAGUUGUCUGUAACUCACACACUGGACACCCAGUCUGCAUGAAAGCACACACUGCCUUCCGAAUGUCACCGAAAUCCAUCUUGAACAAACAGGCUCUCCCACGGGAGUGUUGAUCCUUCCUCCUUGAAGCCAUUCAUCUCCACUAAGCACCCUGUGCAACAGGGAUGGCAUCCUCAGCCAUCUUCCCUCCUGUCCUCUCCCAACUCCCACCCCCCCUCCAAAAAGGACCUCAACCCACACCAAAGUACAACACAAAACCUCUCCACACAGCACUCUCUACAACGCUCUUCCCAAUUCCACCAUCUUGAUUGGCUGACACUACAUUCCCAAAAUGAACAACAAAGCCCCUUAUCUCAGCUCAAUGCCAAUCAGGCUGAAAACAGAACUUUCUGCUCUAACAGAACUGUUAAAACGAAAUACCUACAGCACAGCAGUAAAGAUCUUAAUCAGGGUGUUACAGCAGCAUUCACUGUCAGGAAGCCCCACCACCCAAGACAUGCUCUCUUUUCCCUGUUGACAUCAUGAAGAAGGUAUAUGAGUCUCAGGACUCAUACCACCAGGUUUAAGAAGAGUUACUACCCCUCAGCCAUCAGGCUCUUGAACCAAAGGGAGUAAUUUCACUCAACUUCACUCCACUAGCCCCAUCAUUGAAGUGUUCCCACAGCCAAUGGACUCACUUUCAAAGACACUUCAUCUCAUGUUCUCGAUAUUAUUGCUUAGUAAUUCAUUAUUACUGUUGUUAUUAUUAUUUCUUUCUUUUUGUAUUUGCUCAGUUUGUCGUCUGCACUCUGAUUGAACAUCCAGACUGGGCAGUCUUUCGU